Molecule: non-coding RNA, 21 nt
Filed under: Caenorhabditis elegans
Lineage: Eukaryota; Metazoa; Nematoda; Chromadorea; Rhabditida; Rhabditidae
Source: RNAcentral
UAUUGAUUCAAAUAGUAUAAA